AUGGAUACUAGACUAAAAGAAUUUGAGAUGCAAUAUGCUCGUUCAAAAUGUGGUUUCGCGUUUUGCCAAGUGAUGAAGUGUAGAGGGAGUGGGAAAUACAGGGUAGCAGGAGUUGCACUACUACGAAGUUAUAAUUUAAAGCUGAUGCGAACAAAAAAGGUGGCACUAGCAGGUUCACUUGGACAAAUGGCGGAGAAGACUUGGAGAAUAUUAAAUGUCGUCUCAAUAGGGGAUUGGAAACCUCAGAGUUUGCUACAAAUUUUCCUCUACCAAAGCUCUCCACCUCCCUCAGUUUAG
This is a non-coding RNA of Vicia faba (fava bean), 297 nucleotides long. The record is from the annotation of a GenBank genome assembly. Lineage: Eukaryota; Viridiplantae; Streptophyta; Magnoliopsida; Fabales; Fabaceae.